AGUGAACGCUGGCGGUAGGCCUAACACAUGCAAGUCGAACGGCAGCACAGUAAGAGCUUGCUCUUACGGGUGGCGAGUGGCGGACGGGUGGGGAAUACAUCGGAAUCUACUUUUUCGUGGGGGAUAACGUAGGGAAACUUACGCUAAUACCGCAUACGACCUACGGGUGAAAGCAGGGGAUCUUCGGACCUUGCGCGAUUGAAUGAGCCGAUGUCGGAUUAGCUAGUUGGCGGGGUAAAGGCCCACCAAGGCGACGAUCCGUAGCUGGUCUGAGAGGAUGAUCAGCCACACUGGAACUGAGACACGGUCCAGACUCCUACGGGAGGCAGCAGUGGGGAAUAUUGGACAAUGGGCGCAAGCCUGAUCCAGCCAUACCGCGUGGGUGAAGAAGGCCUUCGGGUGGUAAAGCCCUUUUGUUGGGAAAGAAAAGCAGCAGGUUAAUACCCCGCUGUUCUGACGGUACCCAAAGAAUAAGCACCGGCUAACUUCGU
RNAcentral lists this ribosomal RNA (491 nucleotides) under uncultured bacterium. RNAcentral describes it as "partial 16S ribosomal RNA". It matches the Rfam family "Bacterial small subunit ribosomal RNA", at positions 29 to 506 of the family's 1533-position model. The record is from RNAcentral.